GUCAGAUUUAUUUACGUUUCGCGAAACUAAAUCAGUCCGGAAACUUGAUCCAUAUUAAUUGCGAUCGUUUUUCCACAGUCUAACAGAUUUGGGAUCUUAAAGUGGUUCUGCUUAGACGGUGUAUUUUGGGAAUGCUGCUGGCAUUUAUUUGUAGAUGGAACAGCUUUUUCUGAGACAUUUAGUUUGCAUUUAAACUGUAAAAGUUUAUACAAAAACAGCACAGUCACAGAAAACCUCCAGAUAAUGUCCAAAGUCUGAUUUUAAACAAAUGUUUCAAGAAGCAAAACAAAAAUUUGGAAAAAUUCCGGUACAGAAUCCAGAAGCUACCUCGUCGUUUCAGAUCGAAUAAAUAUGACACGCAGAAAUAUUAUAAAAUGCCAGUCACUAAAAGCUCUACAUCUAAAUGGAAACCAGCGGAAAAGCAAUGCCAAACUUACCGAAAGGAGCAUCGUGCCACCUGGAAAGAGAAAAGAAAUAGUGUUUAGUACAGCAGAAAAUCUGCCCAAAGCGAUGUUAUUGGAAAUCAGCAAAACAAAAAAGGGAAACAAAUGGGCCAAAUAAUCGAUACUGAUAUCAGGAACAAGAAAGAUUUAUGGUUGACACAUGACUCGAAGGAAGACAAAAUGAGGUGGCUUGCACGAUCGCGGAAGACUAAAGUUUACAAUCAACAAUUUAUGGGCGGAAACAUAACUCUUCCAUGCUUAACAUGAAAAAAUUUGUGUGCUUAUAAAUUUUAUUUCAAUUAAUAAAUGUGGGUCAAAUAUGA
Dendroctonus ponderosae (mountain pine beetle) is the source of this 766-nucleotide long non-coding RNA. RefSeq lists it as uncharacterized. The record is from RefSeq and is a predicted model, not a curated record. The transcript is spliced from 2 exons. NCBI's taxonomy places the organism in Eukaryota, Metazoa, Arthropoda, Insecta, Coleoptera, Curculionidae.